RNAcentral lists this ribosomal RNA (137 nucleotides) under uncultured Bdellovibrio sp. Its description in RNAcentral is "partial 16S ribosomal RNA". It matches the Rfam family "Bacterial small subunit ribosomal RNA", at positions 355 to 506 of the family's 1533-position model. Lineage: Bacteria; Pseudomonadati; Bdellovibrionota; Bdellovibrionia; Bdellovibrionales; Pseudobdellovibrionaceae. RNAcentral also lists the same sequence under 1 other name. The record is from RNAcentral.
UGGGGAAUAUUGCGCAAUGGAGGAAACUCUGAUGCAGCGACGCCGCGUGAGUGAUGAAGGCCUUCGGGUCGUAAAGCUCUGUCGCAGGGGAAUAACACAAUGAAUGUACCCUGUAAGAAAGGAUCGGCUAACUUCGU